This 717-nucleotide long non-coding RNA is filed under the name Fragaria vesca (wild strawberry). Its description in RNAcentral is "long non-coding RNA (FVES_LNC002799)". The record is from RNAcentral. Lineage: Eukaryota; Viridiplantae; Streptophyta; Magnoliopsida; Rosales; Rosaceae.
CCGAUCUUGGUGGGGCCAAAGGUGCGGUCGGAGACGAGCUUGAUCUUGAUCUUGACGCGGUCGGAGACGAGGGCGGCGUCGUCGAGGGUGAACUUGAGGGUGUGGUUCCAUUUGGGGCUGGUGCCGCCGUCUUUGUGGACAGGGGUGCGGAGCUUCUGCUUCCUUACGCCGGCGCCGGAGACGGUGACGGCGGCGUAGACGUCCAUCUUGGAGAAGGUGUUGACGUCCUUGAUGUCAUGGGCGCCGAUCAGGGUUAUUUCAAAAGGUCUGCAAUCCAUGGAUGAAGAAAGAUUGAUUGAAAUCUUGGAGUGAUUGAGAAUUUGAGAGAUUUGGAUUUGAGAAUUUGAGAGAAUCAGAAUGAGAGGUAAGGGUUAUAUAUAGGAGUGGAGAAGAAACCGACUGUGGAAGAGGAAUGAGAGGGGAAUGUUCGUUUUCAGGGGUGCAAUGACGGGUUUGCCCUUUACUACGCGGAGGUUGGAUGGUUUAGGUCAGUGGGGAAUUGAGUGGUUUGUCCGAGUGCAGUUUGGGGAGUUCUGGAAUAUGGCUUCACUAUAAGGUGGAGGAUAAUUCUGUACGUGUUUCAUGCGUGUGUGGCAUGGGGAGCGUAAGAAGUAAUAAUUAAAUAAUGAAUUUUCAGGUGCUUUCUCCUGUUGACAAAUGGAACAGCGCUAAAGCAACACGCGUUUCGCGUUUAGGUUUUUUUUAUAAAUAAAAAAG